UACGUAGGGGGCAAGCGUUAUCCGGAUUUACUGGGUGUAAAGGGAGCGUAGACGGCGGGGCAAGUCUGGAGUGAAAGGCCGGGGCCCAACCCCGGGAGUGCAUUUGAAACUGCCAUGCUGGAGUGCCGGAGAGGUAAGCGGAAUUCCUAGUGUAGCGGUGAAAUGCGUAGAUAUUAGGAGGAACACCAGUGGCGGAGGCGGCUUACUGGACGGUAACUGACGCUGAGGCUCGAAAGCGUGGGUAUCGAACAGG
This 253-nucleotide ribosomal RNA is filed under the name uncultured Eubacteriales bacterium. RNAcentral's name for it is "uncultured Clostridiales bacterium partial 16S ribosomal RNA". It matches the Rfam family "Bacterial small subunit ribosomal RNA", at positions 524 to 776 of the family's 1533-position model. The record is from RNAcentral. Lineage: Bacteria; Bacillati; Bacillota; Clostridia; Eubacteriales.